RNAcentral lists this ribosomal RNA (434 nucleotides) under uncultured Lachnospiraceae bacterium. RNAcentral describes it as "bacterial SSU rRNA". It matches the Rfam family "Bacterial small subunit ribosomal RNA", at positions 341 to 792 of the family's 1533-position model. Lineage: Bacteria; Bacillati; Bacillota; Clostridia; Lachnospirales; Lachnospiraceae. The record is from RNAcentral.
ACGGGAGGCAGCAGUGGGGAAUAUUGCACAAUGGGGGAAACCCUGAUGCAGCGACGCCGCGUGAGUGAUGAAGUAUUUCGGUAUGUAAAACUCUAUCAGCAGGGAAGAUAAUGACGGUACCUGACUAAGAAGCACCGGCUAAAUACGUGCCAGCAGCCGCGGUAAUACGUAUGGUGCAAGCGUUAUCCGGAUUUACUGGGUGUAAGGGGUGCGUAGGUGGUAUGGCAAGUCAGAAGUGAAAACACGGGGCUCAACCCCGUGACUGCUCUUGAAACUGUCAAACUAGAGUGCAGGAGAGGAAAGCGGAAUUCCUAGUGUAGCGGUGAAAUGCGUAGAUAUUAGGAGGAACACCAGUGGCGAAGGCGGCUUUCUGGACUGUAACUGACGCUGAGGCACGAAAGCGUGGGGAGCAAACAGGAUUAGAUACCCUGGUA